AUGAGAUAACUCUGGUGAAGGAACUAGUCAAAAUGAAACCGUAACUUUGGAAGAAGGUGUGCCCUGGAUGGUGAUGAGACUUGCUCUUUGAGCUGUUGGGGGUUGCAGAUACCAGGUGGCUGCUACUGUUUAUCAAAAACACAGCACUCUGCGAAAUCGUAAGAUGAAGUAUAGGGUGUGACGCCUUCACGGUGCUGGAAGGUUAAUUGAAGGUGUUAGCGCAAGCGAAGC
RNAcentral lists this ribosomal RNA (231 nucleotides) under Francisella tularensis subsp. holarctica. RNAcentral describes it as "partial 23S ribosomal RNA". It matches the Rfam family "Bacterial large subunit ribosomal RNA", at positions 1690 to 1905 of the family's 2925-position model. The record is from RNAcentral. Lineage: Bacteria; Pseudomonadati; Pseudomonadota; Gammaproteobacteria; Thiotrichales; Francisellaceae.